Molecule: non-coding RNA, 1113 nt
Organism: Tetranychus urticae (two-spotted spider mite)
Lineage: Eukaryota; Metazoa; Arthropoda; Arachnida; Trombidiformes; Tetranychidae
Source: RefSeq, a predicted model, not a curated record
GUCAGAAAAGAAAGCAAACUUUGUUUGACUCGAAACCUAUUAACCUUAUGAUAGCUGUUCUUCAAUACAAACAAUCAUUAAUUAAUCAUCAAAACAGCUAAACUGAUAACAUGAGGCAAAUUAAAUUUGCGUUUCAUUUAAGUACCUGAUUACCUAUGAUUUAAUGUUUUGCAGUUUUCUUAUGCAAAAUGUUUUUUAUAUAAAUGAGAGCGUGCCUGAAAUGCUCUGUGCAUUAGUUUAGUACGACCGGUUUCCCGAUCUGUUAGAAUCAUUAAAAUCAAUUGUAGAAUAAAAUUGAUACGAAAAAUGUAUGUUCUAACGAAACGAAUUAAAUUUAAAUUUGUAAAUAAUCAAGCAAAACGAUUAACAUAAAAGGGGUCAUAAGUUUGUGAAACAGCAGGCUUAAAGUCUCGAGUACUUAAAGGAAACGGAAAUUUCAUUUUCCUCCUGUUAUCAGUUUAGCUGUUUUUAUACUUCACAUUGAUGAUUUUUUGUCUGAAAGAACAGCUGACAGAACGAUACUAGGUGUUGAGUUAAACGGAAGUUUGCUUUGUUUUCUGUCUACGAAAAACUGUUGAACUAUUUGCUGUAAGAUGAAUGGUUUUAAAUUACUAAUACGUGUAUAAAUAAUGUUUACACACUACACAGUAGAUAGCAUUAAUGCGAAAAUUUUUGCCAGCUAGAUGAUCAACAUUAUUCAUUGAAUGAACAAAUUUUCGGUAUAUAAAGCCUGGUUUGAAGGAAUUGGUUAUCAGUUCUUAAAAAUUCUACUUCAAUCCAAUACAUUUUCUUUUACACAGUCCGAUAACAUGAAAUUCGUUUCUUUGUAUUUUAUUCUGUUCUUCAUGGGCAUUCUAAUCUGCCCAUCUUUCGCAAGACGAAAAACUUGUAAAACAAGCUCAGAUUGCGGCCUAUCCAUUUUUUGCAUUAAGGGUGAAUGUAGAGCAUACUGAUCGAGAAUGAUUCAAUGCUUCAAUUAUCCUCACAUGGAAUUGUGUCUUCGAAAGUAGUCGUUUUCAUUUUUUGUCCAUGUUAAGGGGGGAUCAAGCUAAUUAAGUUAUGUCAUCUAUUCCGAAAUAGAUCAUGAAUAAAGAAUAUAAAUAAACUCGCAAA